RNAcentral lists this ribosomal RNA (519 nucleotides) under uncultured bacterium. RNAcentral describes it as "bacterial SSU rRNA". It matches the Rfam family "Bacterial small subunit ribosomal RNA", at positions 777 to 1297 of the family's 1533-position model. The record is from RNAcentral.
AAUAGAUACCCGGUAGUCCACGCCGUAAACGAUGAGUGCUAAGUGUUAGAGGGUUUCCGCCCUUUAGUGCUGAAGUUAACGCAUUAAGCACUCCGCCUGGGGAGUACGGCCGCAAGGCUGAAACUCAAAGGAAUUGACGGGGGCCCGCACAAGCGGUGGAGCAUGUGGUUUAAUUCGAAGCAACGCGAAGAACCUUACCAGGUCUUGACAUCCUCUGACAACCCUAGAGAUAGGGCUUCUCCUUCGGGAGCAGAGUGACAGGUGGUGCAUGGUUGUCGUCAGCUCGUGUCGUGAGAUGUUGGGUUAAGUCCCGCAACGAGCGCAACCCUUGAUCUUAGUUGCCAUCAUUCAGUUGGGCACUCUAAGGUGACUGCCGGUGACAAACCGGAGGAAGGUGGGGAUGACGUCAAAUCAUCAUGCCCCUUAUGACCUGGGCUACACACGUGCUACAAUGGACGGUACAAAGAGCUGCAAGACCGCGAGGUGGAGCUAAUCUCAUAAAACCGUUCUCAGUUCGGA